CCCCUAGAUGUUCUGGGCCGCACGCGCGCUACACUGGACAGUUCAACAAGUCUUAACCUUGGCCGAUAGGUCUGGGUAAUCUUUGAACGCUGUUCGUGAUUGGGAUAGACCUUUGCAAUUAUGGGUCUUCAACGAGGAAUUCCUAGUAAACGCAAGUCAUCAGCUUGCAUUGAUUACGUCCCUGCCCUUUGUACACACCGCCCGUCGCACCUACCGAUUGAAUGGUCCGGUGAAGCCUCCGGAUUGGCGCGCACCUCGGUGCCGCCGAGAAGUUGGCUAAACCUUACCAUUUAGAGGAAGGUGAAGUCGUAACA
This 314-nucleotide ribosomal RNA is filed under the name uncultured eukaryote. RNAcentral's name for it is "partial 18S ribosomal RNA". It matches the Rfam family "Eukaryotic small subunit ribosomal RNA", at positions 1470 to 1796 of the family's 1831-position model. The record is from RNAcentral.